GACGAACGCUGGCGGCGUGCCUAACACAUGCAAGUCGUACGGGACCGGGGGCGAACUCCGGCCCAGUGGCAGAUGGGUGCGUAACACGUGAGGAACUUGUCCGACGGUGGGGGAUAGCCGGCCCAACGGCCGGGUAAUACCGCAUACGCUCGCUUGGGGACAUCCCCGGGCGAGGAACGCAGCCGCAAGGUUGCGCCGAUGGAGAGCCUCGCGGCCUAUCAGCUUGUUGGCGGGGUAAUGGCCCACCAAGGCGACGACGGUAGCUGGUCUGAGAGGAUGGCCAGCCACAUU
This 291-nucleotide ribosomal RNA is filed under the name uncultured bacterium. RNAcentral's name for it is "partial 16S ribosomal RNA". It matches the Rfam family "Bacterial small subunit ribosomal RNA", at positions 28 to 314 of the family's 1533-position model. The record is from RNAcentral.